GACGAACCGAGCGAACGUUGUUCGGAAUCACUGGGCUUAAAGGGCGCGUAGGCGGGCUGCCGAGUCCGGGGUGAAAGCCCCCCGCUCAACGGGGGAACGGCCUCGGAUACUGGCGGCCUGGAGGCGGGUAGGGGCAAGCGGAACUGUGGGUGGAGCGGUGAAAUGCGUUGAGAUCCACAGGAACUCCGGUGGCGAAGGCGGCUUGCUGGACCCGAACUGACGCUGAGGCGCGAAAGCCAGGGGAGCGAACGGG
This 253-nucleotide ribosomal RNA is filed under the name uncultured bacterium. RNAcentral describes it as "partial 16S ribosomal RNA". It matches the Rfam family "Bacterial small subunit ribosomal RNA", at positions 524 to 776 of the family's 1533-position model. The record is from RNAcentral.